This 7808-nucleotide long non-coding RNA is filed under the name Vigna radiata. RNAcentral describes it as "long non-coding RNA (VRAD_LNC003994)". Lineage: Eukaryota; Viridiplantae; Streptophyta; Magnoliopsida; Fabales; Fabaceae. The record is from RNAcentral.
UUGGUUGGUGGUGAUUGCAUCACUGAUCGAACUUAUAACUGAUUGUAUAACAUUAAUUGCAGCAGCGCGUAAAAAGCAGCCUCUAAAGACCAAAACAUAUUUUAAAAGUAGCAACGAAUAGGAAUGGUCAAAUGAUGUCCUUGCUCCCCAAGCAAAUGCAUCUUCCUUUGUCUUUAUCGUAUUAUUCUAUAAAUAGGUAAUUCUUACUUCAUCUUCUUCAUCACUCACAACAUAAACCUUCUUUUCAUAUUUCCACGCUAAAACUCAAACUUCAUCAACAUGUCAUCCUUCUUCAGUUGCUUCAUUCCAUCUUCAUCUGGUCAAGUUUUUGAUUAUGCUGAAAGAUCUUCUUCUUCAUCAUCAUCAUUAUCAUCUCAAAUGAAUCUUCCUUCUUCGGAGAAACCAAAGAGCAAACCAAAGUCAAAGGGUGCUCCUAUUGUUGUGUCGUAUUUCCCUGUCAACCAUUAUCCCUCACGCUUGUAGAAUAUGAGCUAUGUUUUCUCGUUUCUGAAGACUAAGGAAGAGUUUGGUUUUACGUUAAGACGUUCAAGGUCUUUUUGAACAUCAGUUAACCUAAAAUCAAACACAUACUCAGAGUUUCAACAUUCACUUUAUAUAUUAAUUCAUCUGUCAGGCUGAUUAGGUGAUCGAGUUCGAGUUUCAUCUCUUAUUUGUAAAAUAUAGUUUCACACUAUAUUUUUUUAUUUAUUAAUACACACUUCUUUUCCACACUUUAUUUCAUUACUUGUAUAUUAUUAAAUUCGUUGCUAAAAGUAUUAUUAUUUUGUGAUGAACAUUUAACUACAUUAUAUUCUUGUAUGCUUUUUAAAUUUUGGUAGUGUUAAAAUAAAGAAAUUUGUUCGAGUGUAUUAAGUUUUGAAAAAUAAUAAUUUAUCAACUAGCAUAUUGCAUUGCGUGGAAUAUUUACUCAACUCUUAACUAGAAUAACUAGAUUUUGACUCUUAUUUUUGGGUUAUUGUUACCUUUCUAUCAACUAUUAAAAUAACCAAUAUUAAUUAAUUAAUUAAUAUAUUUUUAUUACUAAUUAAUUUAUAAAUUUAUUUGUCUUGUUUGUAGACAUUAUUGAUUUAUUUUCUUAUAAUUUAAAUUUAUAUUUUUUUUCAGUAUUAUCAUAGAUAACGGAUUAUUGUGAUAAAAAAUAUUCUUAAUAUAUCUUCUAGUGAGUAGUGAGUGAAAGAAAGUACAUUUUCAGAAUUUUUCCUUUUUUUUUCUCUUUAUCUUAUUAUUCAAAAUGGAGUAAUUGUCAUAGCAUUUAUAACUUUUAGUUUCACGCAACAUACAUGAGAAGUGUAUGUUCAAGAUUCCGCGUUCAGUAAAAAUAAAAUAAAACUAUACUAUAUUAAAAUCUUAUUUGUGAAGGUAAAUUAGAUUCAAAUUCACUUCUUAAUGAUUAUAAAUAUUGUUUUUAAUAAUAUUUUGAAUUUCAAUUUGAAUUAUUUUAAUACCAAAAAGAUAAUAUGUAAAGUGUUUUAGAAAUGAGAGUGGUUUAAUAAGUGUGGUACUCGAUUAUUUUAAUAUUAAAUAGGUUUAUUAUAAGUAGUUUCGUUAUAAACGAGUUUCAUUAUUUUAAAAUAUAUUAUAUCUCUAAAAAUCACUUUUUGAGUUCUUUGACUUCUCUCUAGGAGUUCUUCUUAUGCUCACCUAAUUGAAGAACUGAGACCGUAGGACUACUCCUGGCAGCGAACUCUUCAUUUCAGACCGACUAUAUUUUCUUCGUCUGAGUAAGUUAAGUUUGAUCCCUUUUCUCUAGUCCUUUCUUUCUUCUGUUGCAUGCGGGCUCCUAUCAUUUUGCAUGUAAUGUCUGAGUCUUCUAUAAAAGACUUUCUGUUAAACAGUGGUCCCAAUACUAUAUCCUGGUCAUGUUUUUGUACUCUGUAAGUACACAUAGAGCUCCUUGAGCUGUUAAAGCAUAAUGGAGUUCUUUAGAAUAUUGUGGUGUUUAGAAAGAUAAAGGAAGUAAAUUUUUGUUUUAUUUUGUGUUAGGAAGGAAGUAUUAAUACAUAAUCACCAUGUUGUGAGAAUGAUGUUCGAUUUAAUAUGUGAUCAACCAAGAUGAAUAAUUGGUAAUAAUCUUGUUUGACACACAAAAUUAAAUUAUUGAAAAAUGACUGUCAUGUAUGUUGAUGAAUUGAUACUACCUUGUACUUUGAUUGUUGUUGUUUUAGGAGUUCUAGGAGGUACAAACCUGUUAUAGAAUUAAUAGUAGUAAAAAAGGGAAUGAUGUUAUGCUGUUUUUAGUCUAGAUUGGAGUUUUGGUAUGUGAGUUUCUAGAAGAGUGACUUUUGAGUGAGAAUUGAUGUUUGAGAGCUGUCUUUUGAUCAAUUAAAACUUGUCUAGGGCCUUAAUUGACUAAAAAUACGAGGUUGAUUUGGAGAAGUAGCAAUUGGGUAGAAUUAUAAGUUGUUUUGUGUUAAAUAGGGGGUUUUGACAAGUGAGAUUUUGAGAUAGUGUCUGGAUGGGGAAACCUGAAGUUCAAGGUCGAUUUUUAAACAAUUUAGGACUUGUGUAGAGGUUAAGUUUACCAAAUUUUGAUAAGGAAUAAGUGGAGUUGAAUCAUGUUUUUGUUUGAGGGAAGUAUAAAUUCUUUUAAAAAUGAUACUGCUAAAGUUUAAGUUGAGCCAUAGACACUUGUUUGAGUUCAAUUUCAGGUUUGGAAGUGGUAAAAGAAAGUUGUAGAUGCACAUGAAGGCGUAGGAGUCAGAAAAUUUUAGGUAGAAUGGGUUUCUGCAAAAAAGUUGUGCUACAAAAUUUCGCAGACUAGCUGGGUGAGCUAGGGAGUUGCUGGGAGAGUAAAUAGGUUACGAAAAUAGUGAGUUACAACAACUGUCGAGCAUUCUCCCUGAGCCUGCAAAACUCUCCGUUUUUACUUUCGAUGGGUGAGUAAGGUUGUGUUGAGCACCAUAGUACUGACGUUGAGCACCCUAUGUGCAUUAUGAGUUUAUGUUUUCUUUUCUUUUGUUUUUGAUUGGGUAUGAGCUAUAUUUGUACUUUGAUGCUUGUUUGGUAUUAUCUAUUGAGUUGUAUGAUAUUAUGAUAAGGAUGAGGAUGUCUUGAUCAUUAGAGGGAUUCCAUAGUGGUGCUCAAUAGUGUAUGUAUUAUUGUAAGAGCUCAUUAUUGGGGGUUAUCUUGAUACUCUAAUGGUCAUUUGUGUUCAAGUAGAGAAGCAAACCAUUUGGUAAAAGUAGCAGGAGUCCUAGUCUGGGGCCUUACCAUUUGACAAAGGGUAUUUUAAUGGACUAACCUUUUGUGGUAACUUUGAGUGGGUUAACUGUUUUACAACACAAGUGCAGAACCCCUCAUAACUCAACAAUAACACAUACCAAAUAAUCAGUCUAGAACUGUAUGCUUAGGAUUGUUGAUUCAUAUAUGUGGUGUGUGAAUAUUCAUACUUUAUUCAUAUAUAUAUAUAUAUAGAUAUUAGUUUACUUUACUUUUUUUGUCUGUUUAUUUGUCAUCUUUUUGUUGCGAUGAUCACUUUAAUGGUGAGAGCAGAUAAAGAUGUAUUUUCAGUUAGUCUAACGAGGGUGAGAGUGAAACAAAUGUGUAAUUUGGUGGUUUUACAACAGUAGAUUUUUUAUUUUUUUAUGUAGUAGGUUUGUUUUACCUUAUUGUUUUAUUAUCAUCUUUGUAACGUUUUAUUUUAAUAAUUUUAUACUAUUAAAAUGGAUGUUACAUAAAAAAAAAUAUUUACAAUAUUAAAUUAAAUAAUUAAUUCAAAUCGUGUCUUAAAUUUUCAAUUUUUACUAUCAAAUAACUUAAUAUUUUUAACAAAACCUCAAUUUUAACUACAUUAAACAAUUCACAUAAUUUAUUACAAAAUAAUUUCUAAAUAAUGUCACUAUAGAAAUAUUAAUUAUUUUUUAUUAUUUUUUAUUUUUUUAUAAUUUCAGUUUAUUUAGAAGGUUUGAAAAGAAUUAAAAGAAUAUUUUAGAAUUCAGUCUCUCUGAAACCAAAUUGUAAUAUACUUUUGAAUAAGUUUCUUCAACUAACUUGGAGAAUUGGUUGAGCUAAGACUUUGAUUUGUUAUAUGGUGAGUUUUAAGAAUAGAAAAUGUUUUAAAAAGACACAUUUUCACUUGCCCACGUUUUUGCAAAGUUUCUUGGUAGCAUCAGUUAUCAUUAUCAAGACAAAGAUGUUAGAAAAACUUUCUCAACUUAUUCCUCGUGCUGCCCCGAUUGAAUAAAGCCAAAAACAAAGUAGAAGUGACCCCAACAAUAUAUUAUUCGGAGAGGGCGAAAUCAAAAGCAACCACUAAAUAUGUUGUCAUGUUCUCCUUCUUCCCCAAGUAAAUUGACUAACAUGCUACAUAAUACAUUAUAUAAAUAUCAUUCAUUUCAAUUUUACUUUUUGCUUCGUAUGUUGUUGAGUUCAAAUUUCAUUAUAUUACAAAAAAAAAAAUUAAUUAUAAAAAAUAGUAUUUUUUUUAUAUAUAAAAAAAGAAAUUAUUAUGAUAUGUUGUGUACAAGAUUAUAUAUUUUUCGUUGUGAAGUUACAAUUGAUGACCUCAAAGUAUAAUUGCUGAAAUCACGAGUCAAACAACAUGAUUAUGUAAAAUACUUGAAGAAAUUGGUGAACCAUAAGAUGGAACUAUUAUCCAUUGCGAUAAUAAAUUGAAAGUAAUAAUAGCAAAACAUUAAAUCCAUCAUCAAAUAACAAAACACAUAGCCAUUAAAUAUCACUUCAUUUGAGAUGAAGAGACAAGUAAAUAGAUUCAAUUCCCAAAUUAUAAAUAUUUUUACAAAAGCAUUUUCACCAUCAAGAUUUGAACUACUACACACUAUUCUUGAAGUUACUGAAUUUGUAUUAAAGAGGAAUAUUAAAGUGUAAUGCAAAUUAUAGAAAAAUAUAAAAAGUCCUAAGAUAAGUAUUAAAAUGUAAUAAAAGUUAUAGAAUAUUUUAGAAAAACUUAAGAUAAGAAGAAAAAAAUCAAGAACAAUUUACAUAGAUAAAAAUUUAGAACAUUUCACAUAAGUUGUGGCUCGCAUAUUCUAGAAUAAUCUACAUGCCUAUAAAUACCAAGAUACUUUAGCAUUUGAUGUAAGCUAACAUCUAUCCUAACUAUUCUUUUCAUAAUCUCAAAAUACUAACAAUAACAUUAAUUUGUAUUUAUUUUUUUCUGUCGUCACAUUAUACUAUCACAUGAUUGGAAUAGAAUUUGACUGAUGAUAAUUCUAUUAUGCUAGUUAUGGAAGGUUUUCUACUUACUCCUUUUAAUAGAUUUUUUAAGAUUACUAUGGAUGUAAUGUAAUGUCAAAUGGGUUAAUAAAAGGUUGAAGCUUUCUGCCAUGAAUAUUUGUAAUUUUCCUCUUAGAUUAGGUCUGCCUUGUUUUUGUGAGCUCUUUGAAACAAUCAUUGAACAUAAUUUUAAGAGAUUUCUAUGAAUAAAAAAUUAUAAAAAUUUGACUUCUUCUUCCCACUAGCAUUUUUUUGACUAUAGGAAGUUUAUGUGAAAAUAGCUGGCAGACUCUGCAUAAUGCAAAUGGAAAGUGUUGAUACAAAAUCCUUGCACCUUACGUAUAGAGGAACCCACACAGCAAUAUAAAAGGAUUAUUUUUUAUCAUAAGCUGCUAUAAAUAGAGCAGCUAAAUGUCUCACUUUCAAUUCAAUCUGAAACCAACUUUGCUGCAUACACAGGCAAAUAGAAACUACAACAAUGCCUUUUUUUCUCAUCCUUCUUCAAUUGCUGUGUUCCCUCUUCUUCAUCAUCAUCCAUGAAAGUCUUUCUUCAUCAUCAUCCAUGAAAGUCUCUGAUGUUGAACAUGGGUGUCAAUCAAAAGCACCUUCUUCAGAGAACCAAAAGAAAAAACCAAAAUCAAAGGGAGCACCAGUUGUCAUGUCUUAUUUUCNUAUUAACUCUUCUCUCUCACGCUUGUAAUAAGGAUGGUGUCUCAUUCUUUGAAUGAAUUGUAACUAUUAUUAUUAUUAUAGAUUAUUUGUUAAUGAUUAGAUACAUGAUCAAAGUUAAUUUUUGACAAAUUUUAGUUCUUCUGUGUAUAUUUUAUGUUUUUCAGAUUGUGCUGCUUUCAAAAUAUGAUUUUGGGUCACAUGAAUUUCAGUUGUACCCUAUACCUAAUAAUAAUAAAAUAAAGCACUCAAUUAGAAAUUAUAUAGGUCACUCUUAUAUCAAUAUCCAUUAAAUAUCAAAUGCAAAUUAAUAUGUUAUAGUUAUAACUUGCAUGAACCAAUCAAGGCGUAAAUUUCCUUGGAGGAGACCACGUCGAUAUGUAACAUUAGCUCAAUUAUUGAUAAAAAAAUUUGGCUGGAUAAACUUUUUAUUUGUAUUAACAUUUUAUGAGAAAAAAAAAAAGAAUGGAAUAAUUUUAUUUAUAACUUAAAAUUAGUUUGGGUAAGUUUAAAAUAAACAUUAUUCUAGACAAAGUAAUAAGAGGGAUGUUUUACUAGUUAAUUUAUACAUAAACUAAUUAGGAAUAACAAUAUGGAUAAUAUAUAUAUAUAUAUAUAUAUAUAUAUAUAUAUAUAUAUUAAUUUUAUACAAAUCUUUAAAUUAUAAACUCAAAUAAAUUUUUUAUCUUAAAUUUAAAUUUAAAUAAUUGUGUAUAAUAAAAUAUUAGUGUAAAUACCUAUAGUUUUUUUUAACAAUAGAUUAAUAUAAGUCUCAUUAGAAUUUUUUUUUUUAAAUAUUAUUUUCAUAAAUAAUUUAAAUUUCAUAAUUCUAAAUAAAAAAACAUAAAAUUAAACUCUAAAUAAUUGUUUGAUUAUUAUUGUUUUUUUCAUAAAUAACUUUAUUUUGAUAAUUAUUUUUUAAAUAUUUGAAUAAAAAUCACUAACAAUUAAAUAUUGAAUAUUCUUAGUUUAGAUACUAUGAUAUCUAUACGAGUAAGUAAAGUAUCCUAUUUGGAAUUUUUGUCAUCCCUAAAACUAAUUUUAAUUAAUGAUAUUUAUAUUUGAUUGUAAAAAUGGUAAUAAGAAAAGGCAGCCAGCUGUGCAAGUAUUCAACACGUUAUCCAAAAGAGUUGGUUGGUGGUGAUUGCAUCACUGAUCGAACUUAUAACUAAAUGUAUAACAUUAAUUGCAUCAGCACGUAAAAAGCAGCCUCUAAAGACCAAAACAUAUUUUAAAAGUAGCAACGAAUAGUUAUGGUCAAAUGAUGUUCUUGCUCCCCAAGCAUAUGCAUCUUCCUUUGUCUUUAUCGUAUUAUUCUAUAAAUAUGUAAUUGUUACUUCAUCUUCUUCAUCACUCACAACUUCACAACAUAAACCUUCUUUUCAUAUUUCCACGCUCAAACUCAACCUUCAUCAACAUGCCAUCCUUCUUCAGUUGCUUCAUUCCAUCUUCAUCUGGUCAAGUUUUUGAUUAUGCUCAAAGAUCUUCUUCUUCUUCAUCAUCAUCAUCAUCAUCUCAAAUGAAUCUUCCUUCUUCGGAGAAAGCAAAGAGCAAACCAAAGUCAAAGGGUGCUCCUAUUGUUGUGUCGUAUUUCCCUGUCAACCAUUAUCCCUCACGCUUGUAGAAUAUGAGCUAUAUAUGUUUUCUCAUUUCAGAAGACUAUAAAGGAAGUGUCUGGUUUUAUGUUAAGACGUUCAACGUCUUUUUUAACAUCAGUUAACCUAAAAUCAAACACAUACUCAAAGUUUCAAUAUUCACUUUAUAAAGUAAUUCAUCUGUCAGGCUGAUUAGGUUAUCGAGUUGAACGUUCAUCUGUUAUUUGUAAAAUAUAGUUUCACGCUAUAUUUUUUUAUUUAUUAAUACACACUUCUUUUCCAGAAUUUAUUUCAUUACUUGCAUAUUGUUAAAUUCGUUACUGAAAGUAUUGUUCUUUUGUGAUGAAU